This is a long non-coding RNA of Vespa crabro (European hornet), 2559 nucleotides long. RefSeq lists it as uncharacterized. The record is from RefSeq and is a predicted model, not a curated record. Lineage: Eukaryota; Metazoa; Arthropoda; Insecta; Hymenoptera; Vespidae. The transcript is spliced from 3 exons.
UCUCUUUCUUUCUCUCUCUUUCUCUCUCUCUCUCUCUCUCUCUCUCUCUCUCUCUCUAUCACUAUAUCCAUUUGUCUCUUUCUAUUUUAUUUCUUCAAUACGCUUUAGCUAUAAAUCGUACAAUUUCAGAUAUAUUCGAAAACGAUACGAAUUCGAAUGUUCGUCCAAUUUUUUUUUUACUUUUGAUCAUCGGAUUCGUUUCUAUUCUCAUCAAAACCCUUCACCCUUUUCUCGUCGUUCUCUAAUACGGGGAUUUUCUUUUUCUUUCUUUUCUUUUUUUUUCUUUUUUUCUUUCUUUCUUUCUUUCUUUCUUCAAAUCGAUCUCCCUUGGCAAAGAUGGCUUUCUCUCGUCUUUCAGUCUUUCUUCGAGACGACGAGUACAACGGAUACGACUUAGGGUACGUCACUGAUACGCGUAUGCACAUCAAACAUACCAAAGGCCUACCCAAUCCGAUCCGCGGGUGAAAGCUUUUCAAUGUGGAAAGCGAAUGUUUGCAGUCAAAGACGAGCUUUCUUCGGGAAAAGAAAAUUCGACUUCACGUGUAGCUAGGUAGGCAGGUAUGUAGAUAUAUUGUACGCGAAGUGACAGGAGUCCCAGAUUUCCAACUUUGAAAGUUUGCAAAUCCGCGAACAAGGAAAAUGGCAAACGAGUCGUGAGACGAUGGGUUUACUGUUAGAUAUUUAUUUUUCUUUAUUAUUAACUUUUCGUUUUUAUAUUUACUUUCGAUCGUACGCUACUCUCGGAUGGAUUUUAUUAUUUACGUUGGCCAAGUACAUAGGAUACAAAUAAACAGACAAUAUUUUAAUAACAUUAGAUACUAAAGAGAUUCAAUAUUGUGAACAUAAAUAGAGGAAGGCCGCUUCUAAAGGAGAUAUAUAACUUGAAGAUGUAAACACGAUGUUUGGUAACUACAGAGACGAGCGUUUGAGAUAAUCCUAGGUCAAAGACUUUAAAUACAGAUCAGUCGACCGGCGAUAUUCGAGGAGGCACGUUGUCAAAGAACGCUCGUGGGAACUUGCUGAUCUUUAUGUAUUUAAAUUACGUUACUGAUACAAAGAUAUCACGUAACUUCUAUCGUUCUAUCAUCAUUAGUAGUUACAGUUUGGAUCGUAUUAUUAGAGUGUCAAAUAUAAUAUUUGUCUCGUUGGUUUAAUAUUAAGGGACACAACAUUGGGACUGCGGUUUUUGACUAAUGAAAAUAAAGGAUCGUCAUGACUCUUACCAGUUCUCGUUUAAUUGUUAACGCCUAUAGAAGAGUUUGACUGUUUCGGUACGUGCAUUAUUCACACAGCAAAAUGAGGGUGCCGUACAGAGGGAAAGCUUACUGUCGCUUAGCAUGUGAGAGAUCCCAGCUACCGUCGACUGCACGUAUCGUGACUGAGUUACGAAUACGUGAGAGAGACUGCUUAAAGUAUGUGUUUUGUGGGGAGCAUUUAACUACCGCGAGAGCUCAAGUCAAUAUUUAUUAAAUGCGCUGUCUGUGUAGGCGUGCGCCCGCACCCAUUGCACUCCCUCUUUGUUAGCGUGCGUUCCUAAUCAAAUUCCAUGCAUUCCACAGGGUGGCCAAAGUGAACUUCUAGCAUCUAGACGAAGUCAAAGUCAUCUGGAAGGCUCCUUCGAGCCUACGAAGAGAUCGUUUAGUUCGAAAAUGUGCGCAUAAUUUCAUUAGUGCUUUUAAUACGCUAAAAUGAGAAGAAAAAAGUUCAUAGAAACACGUAAAUGAUAUGACCUUUUUUUCGUUCCCGAGAGAGACACAUGAUACAAGUCAACUGAUUUAGAAACAUUUACAUCGUAAUGUGUUUAUAAGGUUGUACAUGAUGUAUCAGUAAUUAUUUAUAAACAGUUAAAGAAAGAGAUCUGUUUAUGAAAAAGUUUAUCGAAAGACAUUAUUCAGUUGCAUCUCAAAAACAAGAUCACAUCUGGCGUAUAUUUAGAUGAACUUUUUUUUCCCUUAUUUUUAAUGCGUCGUAUCCAUCGGUGAAGUUAUAUCCAGAUCUAAAACAUUCUAUAUGUAUCUUCUAUUGUAUCUAAACAAAGUUUAUUGUUUUUAAAUAAAGGUUAUUAAAAAGGUAUUAAUUUAGUAAAGUAGAAUGAUAAGAUAAAUUCCAUUAAUAAAAUUCUCUUUGUUGGAAUGUACGUUCAAUCAUUUGUAUAACAUUCGCUCGUUAAUUUUUUUGCGAAUAAUAAAUCGCCAAUGAAAUGUUUAAUUUCGAUACAAUGACCCUAUCGAUAUUUUCGAAUUCCGUUCUGUUAUUCAGUAAAAAAGAAGGGGGAAAAAAAAAGAAAAAGAGAGAACAAAAAGAAAAGAUAAAAAUAAAAAUAACGCAAAAUACAGACUUCAGUUAUAGAAUAAAAGCCCUAUAGACAUUUUUAACAUGGCACAUAUAAUUUUUGUGACGUAAGAAGCAUUUAUCUCUUUAUCAUCUAAUCGAAUAAACAUAUGGAUCGAUCAUUUGAAUAUAACUACGUCUAUAGCUAUUUAUGUAUCAAUUUUAUUUUACUUUUUAGUCCCAAUAACGUACUCUAUUUUUUUCAAAUAUUGAGUUCAACUAUAUAAA